UCACGUUCGGCGCUCGAUCGCGCUGUAUGAGACAGGAAAACAUAGCAUGCAGACAUUAGCGACAGCUCUUACAGGCGGAAAAGGCUUGCCAAAAGAAAAAAAAAAAACACACCACAACAUCUCUCCUAUUGGUGGAAAACUUCACCACAACAACCAAUCCAAAAUUAUAUGGUGACUGAUUGACAAGGGGCGGGCGCUUACGUUCAUCCUGCAACAUGAGAAGCGAGGGAGGGACUCUCAGCAGGGAUGCAGUCUGGGACACGUAGUUGCAAACCUAGCGACUUUGUUGUUAGAUUCAAUGACUUUUCAGACCCCCCUUACGACUUUUUUUUUAGAAAGAAAGGGAAUUUUAUCGACUUCUUCUGGAGUUUAGAGACUCUGAAAUGAAGCAGGCUUUCCUUACUGAGGAGUUGGCAACGCUGCUAAGGGUGCAGAGCCACACAUGCGCUCCGAGCUCUGCAUGGGAGACUGAAGCUGACAGAGCUGCAGCAGUUAGCAGGUUUCACCCUCAGAGACCACCAGGGGUUCAUGUUGAGGCAUUUUCAGUUUUUUUUUUUUUUUUUGUGCCAUAGACACUGUCAGCACAAUCUGCAGCUACACUAACAAAAAUGCUGCAAAAAACAAAGAAUUAUGGAAAAAUUACACAUGGACUGACAUAGAGGAGGAUCUACACAAGUUUUUUACAUCAUGUUUUACAUCAUGCAUCAUUUACAUCAUGUUUUUUUGUAGUGGCAUAAAUAAAAAGUGACAUUUGUGAGACUAUACAGUGUUUUGUAAAUAAUUUUACAAAGAACGCCUGGGCCAUUGCCUGCAUUUUGAUGUAAAUAGAGGUAAAUCACUAUGUUCUUUGUUAAAAAUUUGCAUAUGUUUUGAAGUUUACAAUUUUUAUUUGAAGUUUAAGUUUUAAAAACAGUUCAUCACACAUAUUUGUGGUUUUCACAGUAAAAAUGUUACUUUUUUCCACUCGGAUUUUAUGUUUUGUGUGUGAAUUUGGGUCCAUUGUGUAAAUUCAGUAUGUCAACAUGAUAAAAUAACUGUAAAUUCGCACAGGUGAGGUUGUGCUGAAAAAAAUGAUACCAGGCAAGGCACGUGAUUGUCAAAUUUUGUGUCAAUAUGACAAAGCGUAUAGGCGUGAAUCUCAACAAUAUGUAUUUUCACCUUAGGGGAAAAGAAAAAAUGGACUUUUUUCUCCUGCCAUGGGGGGGCGCUCUUUUGGGGAGUAAAAAUUCCUUCACAAAUGUGUUGAUGGCUGGACAUUGCAUCAUCCUAGAAAACUUGGAGGCCAGUGAGGACAAAAAUAAAAAGUUAUAAGACUUUUAAAUAUGUGGAUUUUAGGGUUAUCUUUGGCGCCCCCUAGAACCUAAACCGUGGGGUGCAGCGUCAUGAUUUAAAUAACUUUUAAUGGCCAUGGGGUGUAGAUUGGCCUGAGCAAAUGUGGUGCCGGUGGAACGAAAGCCUUAGGAGGAGUUAGCCACAUUCCAAUGUGUGCGGAUCGGCAAAAAAUGCGGAAUAACCCUUUAACCGUACAUUUGACAGAUACGCGCGCGUUGACUUUUUCGUAGAUCUUAUUGAGUUACAUGUGUGUGUCAAUUUUUGUGUCAUUUUGACAAAGCGUAUAGGCGUGACACUCAACAAUGUGUAUUUUCACCUUAGGGGACAAGAAAAAAUGGACUUUUUUCUCCUGCCAUGGGGGGGGCGCUCUUUUGGGGAGUAAAAAUUCCUUCACAAAUGUGUUGAUGGCUGGACAUUGCAUCAUCCUAGAAAACUUGGAGGCCAGGGAGGACAAAAAUAAAAAGUUAUAAGACUUUUAAAUAUGUGGAUUUUAGUGUUAUCUUUGGCGCCCCCUAGAACCUAAACCUUGGGGUGCAGCGUCAUGAUUUUGAUAACUUUUAAUGGCCAAGGGGUGUAGAUUGGCCUGAGCAAAUGUGGUGCCGGUGGAACGAAAGCCUUCGGAGGAGUUAGCGAAAUUCCAAUGUGUGCGGAUCGGCAAAAAAUGCGAAAUAACCCUUCAACCGUAAUUUUGACAGAUACGGCCGCACUGACUUUUUUGUAGAUCUUAUUGAGAUAGAUAUGUGUGUCAAUUUUUGUGUCAAUAUGACAAAGCGUACAGGCGUGACAGUCAAUAGUGUGAAUUUCCACCUUAGGGGGCGCUAUGGAGCCAUUUUACAUUUUAUUGUUUGGGCGACUUCAGAAUAUCGAAUUUUUCACCAGGCCCGGUCGUCCUGCCAAAUUUUAUGAGUUUUCGCCAGUGGGAAGUGGGCCAUUUUCCAGUUCAAAGGGGAGGAAAAAGAAGAAAGAAAGAAAGAACUAGGGCCCCGUUGGGGCACUGGCGGGCCCGAGCCGUGUCACGCCGCCCCCAGCGCGACCGCCUCCCCCACCCGAUCGCGUCACACUCAAGGUCCAAAGAUGGUGUGCGCACUUGUUUGUGGUCAUUUACCAUUAUAAUGAACGGGAGGCGCAGUUUCUACCAAAACGCUCGCUGCAGAAAAACUCCAUGUCCUAUUUGAAAAAAGUCUGGACCAUGAGUGAGGGCACAAACACAGCUAAGAUAUAUCCAAAUGGCAAGUUGCUCCUCCUUUCGCUUUUGCCGAAAGAGCAGUGCGUUUGAGCCAUUGAAUGAUGAACAGGAAAAACUUGACUUUAUUCUCCUGGCCAUGGGGGGGCGCUCUUUUAAAGAGAAAAAACUCCUUCACAAAUGUGUUGAUGGCUGGACAUUGCAUCAUCCUAGAAAACAUGGAGGCCAGUGAGGACAAAAAUAAAAAGUUAUAAGACUUUUAAAUAUGUGGAUUUUAGGGUUAUAUUUGGCGCCCCCUAGAACCUAAACCGUGGGGUGCAGCGUCAUGAUUUGAAUAACUUUUAAUGGCCAUGGGGUGUAGAUUGGCCUGAGCAAAUGUGGUGCCGGUGGAACGAAAGCCUUCGGAGGAAUUAGCGAAAUUCCAAUGUGUGCGAAUCUGCAAAAAAUGCGAAAUAACCCUUUAACCGUACAUUUUACAGAUACGUGGCCAUUGACUUUUUCGAAGAUCUUAUUGAAAUACACGUGUAUGUAAAAUUUUGUGUCAAUACGACAAAACAUAAAGGCGUAGCACUCAACAAUGUGUAUUUUCACCUUAGUGGACAAGAAAAAAUUGACUUUUUUCUCCUGCCAUGGGGGGGCGCUCUUUUGCCGAGUAAAAAUUCCUUCACAAAUGUGUUGAUGGCUGGACAUUGCAUCAUCCUAGAAAACUUGGAGGCCAGUGAGGGCAAAAAUAAAAAGUUAUAAGACUUUUAAAUAUGUGGAUCUUAGGGUUAUCUUUGGCUCCCCCUAGAACCUAAACCGUGGGGUGCAGCGUCAUGAUUUGAAUAACUUUUAAUGGCCAUGGGGUGUAGAUUGGCCUGAGCAAAUGUGGUGCCGGUGGAACGAAAGCCUUCGGAGGAGUUAGCGAAAUUCCAAUGUGUGCGGAUCGGCAAAAAAUGCGGAAUAACCCUUUAACCGUACAUUUGACAGAUACGCGCGCAUUGACUUUUUCGUAGAUCUUAUUGAGAUACAUGUGUGUGUCAAUUUUUGUGUCAUUUUGCCAAAGCGUACAGGUGUUACACUCAACAAUGUGUAUUUUCACCUUAGGGGACAAGAAAAAAUGGACUUUUUUCUCCUGCCAUGGGGGGGCGCUCUUUUGGGGAGUAAAAAUUCCUUCACAAAUGUGUUGAUGGCUGGACAUUGCAUCAUCCUAGAAAACUUGGAGGCCAGUGAGGGCAAAAAUAAAAAGUUAUAAGACUUUUAAAUAUGUGGAUCUUAGGGUUAUCUUUGGCGCCCCCUAGAACCUAAACCGUGGGGUGCAGCGUCAUGAUUUGAAUAACUUUUAAUGGCCAUGGGGUGUAGAUUGGCCUGAGCAAAUGUGGUGCCGGUGGAACGAAAGCCUUCGGAGGAGUUAGCGAAAUUCCAAUGUGUGCGGAUCGGCAAAAAAUGCCAAAUAACCCUUUAACCGUACAUUUGACAGAUACGCCCGCACUGACUUUUUUGUAGAUCUUAUUGAGAUACAUGUGUGUGUCAAUUUUUGUGUCAUUUUGACAAAGCGUACAGGCGUGACAGUGAAUAGUGUGAAUUUUCACCUUAGGGGGCGCUAUGGAGCCAUUUUGCAUUUUCUUGUUUGGGCGACUUCGGAAUAUCAAAUUUUUCACCAGGCCCGGUCGUCCUGCCAAAUUUCAUGAGUUUUCGCCAGUGGGAAGUGGGCCAUUUUCCAGUUCAAAGGGGAGGAAAAAUAAUAAUAAUAAUAACAAAAGAAGGAAACUACAGGAACAAGAGGGCUCUCGCAGCUGCUUAGCAGCUACGCUCGGGCCCUAACUAGGGCCCCGUUGGGGCACUGGCGGGCCCGAGCCGCGUCGCGCCGCCCCCAGCGCGACCGCCUCCCCGUCCCAUUCGUGCCCUCUGGCCAUCGCCCUCUCUGGUGACGCCCAUCACUGCAAAGACCCUUUUCCUUCAUCUGUGUUUGCUGUUCUUCCUGCCAUUGCGUGUUGCUUUCACUUACACUUGCCACAGCCAGCCUCGUGAGUGCCUGGCCUGGUUUGACCUUUGCUCACCAUGAUUGUGUGACCUUGGUAUCAGCUACUUGGGAAGUUCAACCGUUGUGGCAAAGCUUUGUUUGCGUGCUGUGCUCAACCACCUAUUUUCUAUGGAUGUGUAAGUAAACCACUUUCUUUCUUACACAAUGACACACUCAUACUUAUCACUCACUGCUACUGAUGUGCUCUGUUAGUAUGCAUGCAGGAAACCUGAUGAAUGAAGAAAUGCCCAGACUAGCCAACAUCUCAAUAAAUUAUGAGGUAUGACAUCACUUGAAUGGUUUCCUUGGACUAUGCUUCCAUUAUUCUAAUUCUGUAAUAAAAAGAAAUUUUGUCCAAAAGGACUGUUGUUGUUUUUUCUUCUAAUAAUUAACAUAUUUAACAUAAUUAACAUUCAAUAUGCGCUCAUUACACACGUGCACACUCUUUGAUGAUCUGAGAAGCAGAGCUUAAAGGACAGUAGGAGUAGCUGAACAAAGUGUAUUUGUAGGAAAGCCGUAAGAGCUAUUGAAACGCCGUUUUCGCGGGUUGAAAGGUUAGGGUGUCCACCAAAGGUCAGAGGUCAAAUAACAUUUGUAUCUCAAACUGUGACGUCAAAGUCAAGGUCCAAAGAUGGUGUGCGCACCUGUCUUUGGUCAUUUCCCAUUAUAAUGAAUGGGAGGCACAGUUUCUACCAAAACGCUCGCUGCAGACAAACUACAUGUCCUAUUUGAAAAAACUCUGGACCAUGAGUGAGGGCACAAACACAGCUAGGACAUAUCCAAAUGGCAAGUUGCUCCUCCUUUUGGUUUUAGCGGGAGAGCAAUGCGUUUGAGCCAUUAAGCGAUGGGCUGGAAAAACUUGACUUUUUCUCCUGCCAUGGGGGGGGGGGGGGCGCUCUUUUGGGGAGAAAAAAUUCCUUCACAGAUGUGUUGAUGGCUGCACAUUGCAUCAUCCUAGAAAACUUGGAGGCCAGUGAGGACAAAAAUAAAAAGUUAUAAGACUUUUAAAAAUGUGGAUAUUUGGGUCAUCUUUGGCGCCCCCUAGAACCUAAACCGUGGGGUGCAGCGUCAUGAUUUGUACAACUUUGAAUGGCCAUGGGGUGUAGAUUGGCCUGAGCAAAUUUGGUGUCAGUAGAACGAAAGCCUUAGGAGGAGUUAGCCACAUUCCAAUGUGUGCGAAUCGGCAAAAAAUGCAAGAUAGCCCUUUAACCGUACAUUUUACAGAUAUGUGCCCAUUGACUUUUUCGUAGAUCUUAUUGAGAUACACGUGUGUGUCAAAUUUUGUGUCAAUAUGACAAAGCGUAUAGGCGUGACACUGAACAAUGUGUAUUUUCACCUUAGGGGACAAGAAAAAAUGGACUUUUUUCUCCUGCCAUGUGGGGGCGCUCUUUAGGGGAGUAAAAAUUCCUUUACAAAUGUGUUGAUGGCUGGACAUUGCAUCAUCCUAGAAAACUUGGAGGCCAGUGAGGAAAAAAAUAAAAAGUUAUAAGACUUUUAAGAAUGUGGAUUUUUUGGUUAUCUUUGGCGCCCCCUAGAACCUAAACCGUGGGGUGCAGCGUCAUGAUUUGUACAACUUUCGAUGGCCAUGGGGUGUAGAUUGGCCUGAGCAAAUGUGGUGCCGGUGGAACGAAAGCCUUCGGAGGAGUUAGCGAAAUUUCAAUGUGUGCGGAUCGGCAAAAAAUGCGAAAUAACCCUUUAACCGUACAUUUGACAGAUACGCCCGCACUGACUUUUUUGUAGAUCUUAUUGAGAUACAUGUGUGUGUCAAUUUUUAUGUCAAUAUGACAAAGCGUACAGGCGUGACAGUCAACAGUGUGAAUUUCCACCUUAGGGGGCGCUAUGGAGCCAUUUUGCAUUUUAUUGUUUGGGCGACUUCAGAAUAUCGAAUUUUUCACCAGGCCCGGUCGUCCUGCCAAAUUUCAUGAGUUUUCGCCAGUGGGAAGUGGGCCAUUUUCCAGUUUAAAGCGGAGGAAAAAUAAUAAUAAUAAUAAUAACUAGGGCCCCGUUGGGGCACUGGCGGGCCCGAGCCGUGUCGCGCCGCCCCCAGCGCGACCGCCUACCCCUCUUGAUCGCGUCACACUCAAGGUCCAAAGAUGGUGUGCGCACUUGUCUGUGGUCAUUUACCAUUAUAAUGAAUGGGAGGCGCAGUUUCUACCAAAACGCUCGCUGCAGACAAACUCCAUGUCCUUUUUGAAAAAAGUCUGGACCAUGAGCGAGGGCACAAACACAGCUAGUAUAUAUCCAAAUGGCAAGUUGCUCCUCCUUUCGGUUUUGCCGAGAGAGCGAUGCUUUUGAGCCAUUGAGCGAUGGGCAGGAAAAACUUGACUUUUUCUCCUGCCAUGGGGGGGCGCUCUUUUGGGGAGAAAAAAUUCCUUCACAAAUGUGUUGAUGGCUGGACAUUGCAUCAUCCUAGAAAACUUGGAGGCCAGUGAGGACAAAAAUAAAAAGUUAUAAGACUUUUAAAAAUGUGGAUAUUUGGGUCGUCUUUGGCACCCCCUAGAACGUAAACCGUGGGGUGCAGCGUCAUGAUUUGUACAACUUUGAAUGGCCAUGGGGUGUAGAUUGACCUGAGCAAAUUUGAAGCCGAUGGGACAAAAGCUUUAGGAGGAGUUAGCCACAUUCCAAUGUGUGCGAAUCGGCAAAAAAUGCAAAAUAGCCCUUUAACCGUACAUUGAACAGAUACGCUCGCAUUGACUUUUUCGUAGAUCUUAUUGAGAUACAUGUGUGUGUCAAAUUUUGUGUCAUUUUGACAAAGCGUAAAGGCGUGACAAUCAACAAUGUGUAUUUUCGCCUUAGGAGACAAGAAAAAAUGGACUUUUUUCUCCUGCCAUGGGGGGGCGCUCUUUUGGCGAGUAAAAAUUCCUUCACAAAUGUGUUGAUGGCUGGACAUUGCAUCAUCCUAGAGAACUUGGAGGCCAGUGAGGACAAAAAUAAAAAGUUAUAAGACUUUUAAGACUGUGGAUUUUUGGGUUAUCUUUGGCGCCCCCUAGAACGUAAACCGUGGGGUGCAGUGUCAUGAUUUGUACAACUUUUAAUGGCCAUGGGGUGUAGAUUGGCCUGAGCAAAUGUGGUGCCGUUGGAACGAAAGCCUUCAGAGGAGUUAGCGAAAUUCCAAUGUGUGCGGAUCGGCAAAAAAUGCGAAAUAACCCUUUAACCGUACAUGUGACAGAUACGCCCGCACUGACUUUUUUGUAGAUCUUAUUGAGAUACAUGUGUGUGUCAAAUUUUGUGUCAUUUUGACAAAGCGUAAAGGCGUGACAGUCAACGAUGUGUAUUUUCGCCUUAGGAGACAAGAAAAAAUGGACAUUUUUCUCCUGCCAUGGGGGGGCGCUCUUUUGGCGAGUAAAAAUUCCUUCACAAAUGUGUUGAUGGCUGGACAUUGCAUCAUCCUAGAGAACUUGGAGGCCAGUGAGGACAAAAAUAAAAAGUUAUAAGACUUUUAAGACUGUGGAUUUUUGGGUUAUCUUUGGCGCCCCCUAGAACGUAAACCGUGGGGUGCAGCGUCAUGAUUUGUACAACUUUUAUUGGCCAUGGGGUGUAGAUUGGCCUGAGCAAAUGUGGUGCCGGUGGAAGGAAAACCUUCGGAGGAGUUAGCGAAAUUCCAAUGUGUGCGGAUCGGCAAAAAAUGCGAAAUAAACCUUUAACCGUACAUUUGACAGAUACGCCCGCACUGACUUUUUUGUAGAUCUUAUUGAGAUACACGUGUGUGUCAAAUUUUGUGUCAUUUUGACAAAGCGUACAGGCGUGACACUCAAUCAUGUGAAUUUUUCACCUUAGGGGGCGCUAUGGAGCCAUUUUGCAUUUGAUUUUUUGGGCGACUUCAGAAUAUCGAAUUUUUCACCAGGCCCGGUCGUCCUGCCAAAUUUCAUGACUUUUCACCAGUGGGAAGUGGGCCAUUUUCCAGUUCAAAGGGGCAGAAAAAUAAUAAGAAGAAGAAGAAGAAGAAAGAAGAAUCCAUCAGGAAUAAUAGGGCUCUCGCAGCUGCUUAGCAGCUACGCUCGGGCCCUAAUAACAAAAGAAGAAUCCAUCAGGAACAAGAGGGCUCUCGCAGCUGCUUAGCAGCUACGCUCGGGCCCUAACUAGGGCCCCGUUGGGGCACUGGCGGGCCCGAGCCGUGUCGCACCCCCCCCCCCCCCAACGCGCUGCCUCCCCGUCCCAUUCGUGUCCUCUGGCCAUCGCCCUCUCUGGUAACGCCCAUCACUGCAAAGACCCUUUUCCUUCAUCGGCGUUUGCUGUUCUUCCUGCCAGUGCGUGUUGCUUUAACUUACACUUGCCACAGCCAGCCUCGUGAGUGCCUAGCCUAUUGGAUAUCACUGUCACCUACACAGGACAGUCAUACUUUGUUUUUUAAUUUCACAUUAAUUUCCAUAUUGUAUAAACGACUGGAAAAAACUUGAGCCCCUGCCCCUGUAUUAUCAUGUGCACGUCCCUGUUCUAGCUCCAAGGUGAAUCUUCAGUGCUCAUGUUCUCCUCAGAAGCAGUCACCUCACUCCCCUCAGGUUACUGUACACAUGCACCAACUGCCUGCUUCAGGUUUGGAUGGAGCUUCAUGGUUGUCUUUUGGAGAAAUGACCAGUCAAGUUGUGUUUGAAAUCUGAUUUUUUUCAGGGGCAAAAGGAAGCCUCCGCAUUCUUGUCAAAUAUGUAAAUAGCAUGUUUUUGCAGGUGCUAAAAAACAGACUCUGAGUGUGUGUGUGUGUGUGUGUGUGUGUGUGUGUGUGUGUGUGUGUGUGUGUGCGUGUGUGUGUGUGUGUGUCUGUGUGUGUGUGUGUGUGUGUAUCCUGCAGUACUCUGAGAAGAAUAAUAAGCAUAUUUCUGAGGUGAAUUUUGAAGAUUCAUCUGAGAGUUAGGUUUGAUUCGAUUCGAUUGACGCUCCCCAGCGUUCAAGUCACAUGACAUAUUUAACCGGAUGUAGCUGCAAGACGGAGCCUCGUUAACUCUCCGUUUCAACUUAUCUCAAAAGUGAGGACCUCAACCUAUAUACCAGUUUUUAAAUUGUGUUGAUAGGCCAAAUAAAACCAGAGUUAUGAUAAAUUAUGUCCGCGAUACUUUUUUUCUGCUUAUUUUGAUCACGUUCGGCGCUCGAUCGUGCUGUAUGAGACAGGAAAACAUUGCAUGCACACAUUAGUGACAGGUCAUACAGGCGGAAAAGGCUUGCCAAAAGAAAAAAAAACACACCACAACAUCUCUCCUAUUGGUGGAAAACUUCACCACAACAACCAAUCCAAAAUUAUAUGGUGACUGAUUGACAAGGGGCGGGCGCUUACGUUCUUCCUGCAACAUGAGAAGGGAGGGAGGGACUCUCAGCAGGGAUGCAGUCUGGGACACGUAGUUGCAAACCUAGCGACUUUGUUGUUAGAUUCAAUUACUUUUCAGACCCCCUAACGACUUUUUUUAGAAAGAAAGGGACUUUUAUCGACUUCUUCUGGAGUUUAGAGACUCUGACAUGAAGCAGGCUUUCCUUACUGAGGAGUUAGCAACGCUGCUAAGGGUGCAGAGCCACACAUGCGCUCCGAGCUCUGCAUGGGAGACAGAAGCUGACAGAGCUGCAGCAGUUAGCAGGUUUCACCCUCAGAGACCACCAGGGGUUCAUGUUGAGGCAUUUUCAGUUUUUUUUUUUUUGCCAUAGACAGUCAGCACAAUCUGCAGUUACACUAACAAAAAUGCUGCAAAAAACAAAGAAUUAUGGAAAAAUUACACAUGGACUGACAUAGAGGAGGAUCUACACAAGUUUUUUACAUCAUGUUUUACAUCAUGCAUCAUUUACAUCAUGUUUUUUUGUAGUGGCAUAAAUAAAAAGUGACAUUUGUGAGACUAUACAGUGUUUUGUAAAUAAUUUUACAAAGAACGCCUGGGCCAUUGCCUGCAUUUUGAUGUAAAUAGAGGUAAAUUACUAUGUUCUUUGUUAAAAAUUUGCAUAUGUUUUGAAGUUUACAAUUUUUAUUUGAAGUUUAAGUUUUAAAAACAGUUCAUCACACAUAUUUGUGGUUUAAUUUCACAUUAAUUUCCAUAUUGUAUAAAUGACUGGAAAAAACUUGAGCCCCUGCCCCUGUAUAAUCAUGUGCACGUCCCUGUUCUAGCUCCAAGGUGAAUCUUCACUGCUCAUGUUCUCCUCAGAAAUAGUCACCUCACUCUCCUCAGGUUACUGUACACAUGCACCAACUAUCUGCUUCAGGUUUGGAUGGAGCUUCAUGGUUGUCUUUUGGAGAAAUGAACAGUCAAGUUGUGUUUGAAAUCUGAUUUUUUUCAGGGGCAAAAGGAAGCCUCUGCAUUCUUGUCAAAUAUGUAAACAGCAUGUUUUUGCAGGUGCUAAAAAAAAGACUCUGAGUGUGUGUGUGUGUGUGUGUGUGUGUGUGUGUGUGUGUGUGUGUGUGUGUGUGUGUGUGUGUGUGUGUGUGUGUGUGUAUCCUGCAGUACUCUGUACUCCUGCAGUGGCCAAAAAGACUUUUAAGAAUGUGGAUUUUUGGGUCAUCUUUGGCGCCCCCUAGAACUGCAGUACUCUGUACUCCUGCAGUGGCCAAAAUGACUUUUAAGAAUGUGGAUUUUUGGGUCAUCUUUGGCGCCCCCUAGAACGUAAACCGUGGGGUGCAGCGUCAUGAUUUUUACAACUUUGAAUGGGCAUGGGGUGUAGAUUGGCCUGAGCAAAUUUGGUAUCGGUGGGACGAAAGCCUUAGGAGGAGAUAGCCACAUUCCAAUGUGUGCGAAUCAACCAAAAAUGCGAAAUAGCCCUUUAACCGUACAUUUUGCAGACACGUGCGCAUUGACUUUUUCGUAGAUCUUAUUGAGAUACACGUGAUUAUCAAAUUUUGUUUCAAUAUGACAAAGCGUACAGGCGUGACACUCAACAAUGUGUAUUUUCACCUUAUAGGACAAGAAAAAAUGGCCUUUUUUCUCCUGCCAUGGGGGGGCGCUCUUUUGGGGAGUAAAAAUUCCUUCACAAAUGUGUUGAUGGCUGGACAUUGCAUCAUCCUAGAAAACUUGGAGGCCAGUGAGGACAAAAAUAAAAAGUUAUAAGACUUGUAAGAAUGUGGAUUUUUGGGUUAUCUUUGGCGCCCCCUACAACGUAAACCGUGGGGUGCAGCGUCAUGAUUUGUACAACUUUGAAUGGCAAUGGGGUGUAGAUUGGCCUGAGCAAAUUUGGUGCCGGUGGAACGAAAGCCUUCGGAGGAGUUAGCGAAAUUCCAAUGUGUGCGGAUCGGCAAAAAAUGCGAAAUAGCCCUUUAAACGUACAUUUGACAGAUACGCCCGCACUGACUUUUUUGUAGAUCUUAUUGAGAUACACGUGUGUGUCAAAUUUUGUGUCAUUUUGACAAAGCGUACAGGCGUGACACUCAAUCAUGUGAAUUUUUCACCUUAGGGGGCGCUAUGGAGCCAUUUUGCAUUUGAUUGUUUGGGUGACUUCAGAAUAUCGAAUUUUUCACCAGGCCCGGUCGUCCUGCCAAAUUUCAUGAGUUUUCACCAGUGGGAAGUGGGCCAUUUUCCAGUUCAAAGGGGCAGAAAAAUAACUAGGGCCCCGUUGGGGCACUGGCGGGCCCGAGCCGUGUCGCGCCGCCCCCAGCGCGACCGCCUACCCCUCUUGAUCGCGUCACACUCAAGGUCCAAAGAUGGUGUGCGCACUUGUCUGUGGUCAUUUACCAUUAUAAUGAAUGGGAGGCGCAGUUUCUACCAAAACGCUCGCUGCAGACAAACUCCAUGUCCUUUUUGAAAAAAGUCUGGACCAUGAGCGAGGGCACAAACACAGCUAGUAUAUAUCCAAAUGGCAAGUUGCUCCUCCUUUCGGUUUUGCCGAGAGAGCGAUGCUUUUGAGCCAUUGAGCGAUGGGCAGGAAAAACUUGACUUUUUCUCCUGCCAUGGGGGGCGCUCUUUUGGGGAGAAAAAUUCCUUCACAAAUGUGUUGAUGGCUGGACAUUGCAUCAUCCUAGAAAACUUGGAGGCCAGUGAGGACAAAAAUAAAAAGUUAUAAGACUUUUAAAAAUGUGGAUAUUUGGGUCGUCUUUGGCACCCCCUAGAACGUAAACCGUGGGGUGCAGCGUCAUGAUUUGUACAACUUUGAAUGGCCAUGGGGUGUAGAUUGACCUGAGCAAAUUUGAAGCCGAUGGGACAAAAGCUUUAGGAGGAGUUAGCCACAUUCCAAUGUGUGCGAAUCGGCAAAAAAUGCAAAAUAGCCCUUUAACCGUACAUUGAACAGAUACGCUCGCAUUGACUUUUUCGUAGAUCUUAUUGAGAUACAUGUGUGUGUCAAAUUUUGUGUCAUUUUGACAAAGCGUAAAGGCGUGACAAUCAACAAUGUGUAUUUUCGCCUUAGGAGACAAGAAAAAAUGGACUUUUUUCUCCUGCCAUGGGGGGGCGCUCUUUUGGCGAGUAAAAAUUCCUUCACAAAUGUGUUGAUGGCUGGACAUUGCAUCAUCCUAGAGAACUUGGAGGCCAGUGAGGACAAAAAUAAAAAGUUAUAAGACUUUUAAGACUGUGGAUUUUUGGGUUAUCUUUGGCGCCCCCUAGAACGUAAACCGUGGGGUGCAGUGUCAUGAUUUGUACAACUUUUAAUGGCCAUGGGGUGUAGAUUGGCCUGAGCAAAUGUGGUGCCGUUGGAACGAAAGCCUUCAGAGGAGUUAGCGAAAUUCCAAUGUGUGCGGAUCGGCAAAAAAUGCGAAAUAACCCUUUAACCGUACAUGUGACAGAUACGCCCGCACUGACUUUUUUGUAGAUCUUAUUGAGAUACAUGUGUGUGUCAAAUUUUGUGUCAUUUUGACAAAGCGUAAAGGCGUGACAGUCAACGAUGUGUAUUUUCGCCUUAGGAGACAAGAAAAAAUGGACAUUUUUCUCCUGCCAUGGGGGGGCGCUCUUUUGGCGAGUAAAAAUUCCUUCACAAAUGUGUUGAUGGCUGGACAUUGCAUCAUCCUAGAGAACUUGGAGGCCAGUGAGGACAAAAAUAAAAAGUUAUAAGACUUUUAAGACUGUGGAUUUUUGGGUUAUCUUUGGCGCCCCCUAGAACGUAAACCGUGGGGUGCAGCGUCAUGAUUUGUACAACUUUUAUUGGCCAUGGGGUGUAGAUUGGCCUGAGCAAAUGUGGUGCCGGUGGAAGGAAAACCUUCGGAGGAGUUAGCGAAAUUCCAAUGUGUGCGGAUCGGCAAAAAAUGCGAAAUAAACCUUUAACCGUACAUUUGACAGAUACGCCCGCACUGACUUUUUUGUAGAUCUUAUUGAGAUACACGUGUGUGUCAAAUUUUGUGUCAUUUUGACAAAGCGUACAGGCGUGACACUCAAUCAUGUGAAUUUUUCACCUUAGGGGGCGCUAUGGAGCCAUUUUGCAUUUGAUUUUUUGGGCGACUUCAGAAUAUCGAAUUUUUCACCAGGCCCGGUCGUCCUGCCAAAUUUCAUGACUUUUCACCAGUGGGAAGUGGGCCAUUUUCCAGUUCAAAGGGGCAGAAAAAUAAUAAGAAGAAGAAGAAGAAGAAAGAAGAAUCCAUCAGGAAUAAUAGGGCUCUCGCAGCUGCUUAGCAGCUACGCUCGGGCCCUAACUAGGACCCCGUUGGGGCACUGGCGGGCCCGAGCCGUGUCGCGUCCCCCCCCCCCCCCCCCCCAACGUGCUGCCUUCCCGUCCCAUUUGUGUCCUCUGGCCAUCGCCCUCUCUGGUAACGCCCAUCACUGCAAAGACCCUUUUCCUUCAUCGGCGUUUGCUGUUCUUCCUGCCAGUGCGUGUUGCUUUCACUUACACUUGCCACAGCCAGCCUCGUGAGUGCCUAGCCUAUUGGAUAUCACUGUCACCUACACAGGACAGUCAUUACCUUUCUAUUAAUACUUUGUGUUUUAAUUUCACAUUAAUUUCCAUAUUGUAUAAACGACUGGAAAAAACUUGAGCCCCUGCCCCUGUAUAAUCAUGUGCAUGUCUCUGUUCUAGCUCCAAGGUGAAUCUUCACUGCUCAUGUUCUCCUCAGAAGCAGUCACCUCACUCCCCUCAGGGUACUGUACACAUGCACCAACUGCCUGCUUCAGGUUUGGAUGGAGCUUCAUGGUUGUCUUUUGGAGAAAUGACCAGUCAAGUUGUGUUUGAAAUUUGAUUUUUUUCAGGGGCAAAAGGAGCCUCUGCAUUCUUGUCAAAUAUGUAAAUAGCAUGUUUUUGCAGGUGCUAAAAACCAGACUCUGAGUGUGUGUGUGUGUGUGUGUGUGCGUGUGUGUGUGUGUGUGUGUGUGUGUGUGUGUGUGCGUGUGUGUGUGUCUAUGUGUGCGUUCAAGUCACAUGACAUAUUUAACCGGAUGUAGCUGCAAGACGGAGCCUUGUUGACUCUCCGUUUCAACUUAUCUCAAAAGUGAGGACCUCAACCUAUAUACCAGUUUUUAAAUUGUGUUGAUAGGCCAAAUAAAACCAGAGUUAUGAUAAAUUAUGUCCGCGAUACUUUUUUUCUGCUUAUUUUGAUCACGUUCGGCGCUCGAUCGCGCUGUAUGAGACAGGAAAACAUAGCAUGCAGACAUUAGCGACAGGUCUUACAGGCGGAAAAGGCUUGCCAAAAGAAAAAAAAAACACACCACAACAUCUCUCCUAUUGGUGGAAAACUUCACCACAACAACCAAUCCAAAAUUAUAUGGUGACUGAUUGACAAGGGGCGGGCGCUUACGUUCUUCCUGCAACAUGAGAAGGGAGGGAGGGACUCUCAGCAGGGAUGCAGUCUGGGACACGUAGUUGCAAACCUAGCGACUUUGUUGUUAGAUUCAAUGACUUUUCAGACACCCUAACGACUUUUUUUUAGAAAGAAAGGGACUUUUAUCGACUUCUUCUGGAGUUUAGAGACUCUGACAUGAAGCAGGCUUUCCUUACUGAGGAGUUAGCAACGCUGCUAAGGGUGCAGAGCCACACAUGCGCUCAGAGCUCUGCAUGGGAGACUGAAGCUGACAGAGCUGCAGCAGUUAGCAGGUUUCACCCUCAGAGACCACCAGGGGUUCAUGUUGAGGCAUUUUAAUUUUUUUUUUUUUUUUGUGCCAUAGACACUGUCAGCACAAUCUGCAGUUACACUAACAAAAAUGCUGCAAAAAACAAAGAAUUAUGGAAAAAUUACACAUGGACUGACAUAGAGGAGGAUCUACACAAGUUUUUUACAUCAUGUUUUACAUCAUGCAUCAUUUACAUCAUGUUUUUUUGUAGUGGCAUAAAUAAAAAGUGACAUUUGUGAGACUAUACAGUGUUUUGUAAAUAAUUUUACAAAGAACGCCUGGGCCAUUGCCUGCAUUUUGAUGUAAAUAGAGGUAAAUCACUAUGUUCUUUGUUAAAAAUUUGCAUAUGUUUUGAAGUUUACAAUUUUUAUUUGAAGUUUAAGUUUUGAAAACAGUUCAUCACACAUAUUUGUGGUUUUCACAGUAAAAAUGUUACUUUUUUCCACUCGGAUUUUAUGUUUUGUGUGUGAAUUUGGGUCCAUUGUGUAAAUUCAGUAUGUCAACAUGAUAAAAUAACUGUAAAUUCGCACAGGUGAGGUUGUGCUGAAAAAAAUGAUACCAGGCAAGGCACGUGAUUGUCAAAUUUUGUGUCAAUAUGACAAAGCGUAUAGGCGUGAAUCUCAACAAUAUGUAUUUUCACCUUAGGGGACAAGAAAAAAUGGACUUUUUUCUCCUGCCAUGGGGGGGCGCUCUUUUGGGGAGUAAAAAUUCCUUCACAAAUGUGUUGAUGGCUGGACAUUGCAUCAUCCUAGAAAACUUGGAGGCCAGUGAGGACAAAAAUAAAAAGUUAUAAGACUUUUAAAUAUGUGGAUUUUAGGGUUAUCUUUGGCGCCCCCUAGAACCUAAACCGUGGGGUGCAGCGUCAAGAUUUUGAUAACUUUUAAUGGCCAUGGGGUGUAGAUUGGCCUGAGCAAAUGUGGUGCCGGUGGAACGAAAGCCUUAGGAGGAGUUAGCCACAUUCCAAUGUGUGCGGAUCGGCAAAAAAUGCGGAAUAACCCUUUAACCGUACAUUUGACAGAUACGCGCGCAUUGACUUUUUCGUAGAUCUUAUUGAGUUACAUGUGUGUGUCAAUUUUUGUGUCAUUUGGACAAAGCGUAUAGGCGUGACACUCAACAAUGUGUAUUUUCACCUUAGGGGACAAGAAAAAAUGGACUUUUUUCUCCUGCCAUGGGGGGGCGCUCUUUUGGGGAGUAAAAAUUCCUUCACAAAUGUGUUGAUGGCUGGACAUUGCAUCAUCCUAGAAAACUUGGAGGCCAGUGAGGACAAAAAUAAAAAGUUAUAAGACUUUUAAAUAUGUGGAUUUUAGUGUUAUCUUUGGCGCCCCCUAGAACCUAAACCUUGGGGUGCAGCGUCAUGAUUUUGAUAACUUUUAAUGGCCACGGGGUGUAGAUUGGCCUGAGCAAAUGUGGUGCCGGUGGAACGAAAGCCUUCGGAGGAGUUAGCGAAAUUCCAAUGUGUGCGGAUCGGCAAAAAAUGCGAAAUAACCCUUUAACCGUACAUUUGACAGAUACGGCCGCACUGACUUUUUUGUAGAUCUUAUUGAGAUACAUAUGUGUGUCAAUUUUUGUGUCAAUAUGACAAAGCGUACAGGCGUGACAGGCAAUAGUGUGAAUUUCCACCUUAGGGGGCGCUAUGGAGCCAUUUUGCAUUUUCUUGUUUGGGCGACUUCAGAAUAUCGAAUUUUUCACCAGGCCCGGUCGUCCUGCCAAAUUUCAUGAGUUUUCGCCAGUGGGAAGUGGGCCAUUUUCCAGUUCAAAGGGGAGGAAAAAGAAGAAAGAAAAAAGAACUAGGGCCCCGGUGGGGCACUGUCGGGCCCGAGCCGCGUCGUGCCGCCCCCAGCGUGACCGCCUCCCCCUCCCGAUCGCGUCACACUCAAGGUCCAAAGAUGGUGUGCGCACUUGUCUGUGGUCAUUUCCCAUUAUAAUGAAUGGGAGGCGCAGUUUCUACCAAAACACUCGCUGCAGACAAACUUCAUGUCCUAUUUGAAAAAAGUCUGGACCAUGAGUGAGGGCACAAACACAGCUGGGAUAUAUCCAAAUGGCAGGUUGCUCCUCCUUACGGUGUUGCCUGUAGAGCGAUGCGAUUGAGCCAUUGAGCGAUGGGCAGGAAAAACUUGACUUUUUCUCGUGCCAUGGGGGGGGAGAAUGUGGAUUCUUUUAAGAAUGUGGAUUUUUUGGUCAUCUUUGGCGCCCCCUAGAACGUAAACCGUGGGGUGCAGCAUCAUGAUUUGAAUAACUUUUAAUGGCCAUGGGGUGUAGAUCGGCCUGAGCAAAUUUGGUUUCAGUGGGACGAAAGCCUUAGGAGGAGUUAGCCACAUUCCAAUGUGUGCGAAUCGGCAAAAAAUGCAAAAUAGCCCUCUAACCGUAUAUUUGACAGAUACGCACCCAUUGACUUUUUCGUAGAUCUUAUUGAGAUACACGUGAUUGUCAAAUUUUGUGUCAAUAUGACAAAGCGUACAGGUGUCACACUCAACAAUGUGAAUUUUCACCUUUCGGGACAAGAAAAAAUUGACUUUUUUCUCCUGCCAUGGGGGGGGGGGCGCUCUUUUGGGGAGUAAAAAUUCCUUCACAAAUGCGUUGAUGGCUGGACAUUGCAUCAUCCUAGAAAACUUGGAGGCCAGUGAGGGCAAAAAUAAAAAGUUAUAAGACUUUGAAAUAUGUGGAUUUUAGGGUUAUCUUUGGCGCCCCCUAGAACCUAAACCGUGGGGUGCAGCGUCAUGAUUUGAAUAACUUUUAAUGGCCAUGGGGUGUAGAUUGGCCUGAGCAAAUGUGGUGCCGGUGGAACGAAAGCCUUAGGAGGAGUUAGCGAAAUUCCAAUGUGUGCGGAUCAGAAAAAAUGCGGAAUAACCCUUUAACCGUACAUUUGACAGAUACGCGCGCAUUGACUUUUUCGUAGAUCUUAUUGAGAUACAUGUGUGUGUCAAAUUUUGUGUCAAUAUGACAAAGCGUACAGGCGUGACACUCAACAAUGUGUAUUUUCAAAUUAGGGGACAAGAAAAAAUGGACUUUUUUCUCCUGCCAUGGGGGGGCGCUCUUUUGGGGAGUAAAAAUUCCUUCACAAAUGUGUUGAUGGCUGGACAUUGCAUCAUCCUAGAGAACUUGGAGGCCAGUGAGGACAAAAAUAAAAAGUUAUAAGACUUUUAAAUAUGUGGAUUUUAGGGUUAUAUUUGGCGCCCCCUAGAACCUAAACCGUGGGGUGCAGCAUCAUGAUUUGAAUAACUUUUAAUGGCCAUGGGGUGUAGAUUGGCCUGAGCAAAUGUGGUGCCGGUGGAACGAAAGCCUUCGGAGGAGUUAGCGAAAUUCCAAUGUGUGCGGAUCGGCAAAAAAUGCGAAAUGACCCUUUAACCGUACAUUUGACAGAUACGCGCGUAUGACUUUUUCGUAGAUCUUAUUGAGAUACACAUGUGUGUCAAUUUUUGUGUCAAUAUGACAAAGCGUACAGGCGUGACAGUCAAUAGUGUGAAUUUUCACCUUAGGGGACAAGAAAAAAUGGACUUUUUUCUCCUGCCAUGGGGGGGCGCUCUUUUGGGGAGUCAAAAUUCCUUCACAAAUGUGUUGAUGGCUGGACAUUGCAUCAUCCUAGUAAACUUGGAGGCCAGUGAGGAAAAAAAUAAAAAGUUAUAAGACUUUUAAAUAUGUGGAUUUUAGGGUUAUCUUUGGCGCCCCCUAGAACCUAAACCGUGGGGUGCAGCGUCAUGAUUUGAAUAACUUUUAAUGGCCAUGGGGUGUAGAUUGACCUGAGCAAAUGUUGUGCCGAUGGAAGGAAAGUCUUCAGAGGAGUUAGCGAAAUUCCGAUGUGUGUGGAUCGGCAAAAAAUGCGAAAUAACCCGUUAACCGUAAAUUUGACAGAUACGCCCGCACUGACUUUUUUGUAGAUCUUAUUGAGAUACAUAUGUGUGUCAAUUUUUGUGUCAAUAUGACAAAGCGUACAGCCGAGACAGUCAAUAGUUUGAAUUUUCAUCUUAGGGGGCGCUAUGGAGCCAUUUUGCAUUUUAUUGUUUGGGCGACUUCAGAAUAUCAAAUUUUUCACCAGGCCCGGUCGUCCUGCCAAAUUUCAUGAGUUUUCGCCAGUGGGAAGUGGGCCAUUUUCCAGUUCAAAGGGGAGGAAAAAGAAGAAACUAGGACCCCGUUGGGGCACUGGCGGGCCCGAGCCGUGUCGCGUCCCCCCCCCCCCCCCACCCCCCCACCCCCCAACAUGCUGCCUCCCCGUCCCAUUUGUGUCCUCUGGCCAUCGCCCUCUCUGGUAACGCCCAUCACUGCAAAGACCCUUUUCCUUCAUCGGCGUUUGCUGUUCUUCCUGCCAGUGCGUGUUGCUUUCACUUACACUUGCCACAGCCAGCCUCGUGAGUGCCUAGCCUAUUGGAUAUCACUGUCACCUACACAGGACAGUCAUUACCUUUCUAUUAAUACUUUGUGUUUUAAUUUCACAUUAAUUUCCAUAUUGUAUAAACGACUGGAAAAAACUUGAGCCCCUGCCCCUGUAUAAUCAUGUGCAUGUCUCUGUUCUAGCUCCAAGGUGAAUCUUCACUGCUCAUGUUCUCCUCAGAAGCACUCACCUCACUCCCCUCAGGUUACUGUACACAUGCACCAACUGCCUGCUUCAGGUUUGGAUGGAGCUUCAUGGUUGUCUUUUGGAGAAAUGACCAGUCAAGUUGUGUUUGAAAUUUGAUUUUUUUCAGGGGCAAAAGGAGCCUCUGCAUUCUUGUCAAAUAUGUAAAUAGCAUGUUUUUGCAGGUGCUAAAAACCAGACUCUGAGUGUGUGUGUGUGUGUGUGUGUGUGUGUGUGUGUGUGUGCGUGUGUGUGUGUCUGUGUGUGCGUUCAAGUCACAUGACAUAUUUAAUCGGAUGUAGCUGCAAGACGGAGCCUCGUUGACUCUCCGUUUCAACUUAUCUCAAAAGUGAGGACCUCAACCUAUAUACCAGUUUUUAAAUUGUGUUGAUAGGCCAAAUAAAACCAGAGUUAUGAUAAAUUAUGUCCGCGAUACUUUUUUUCUGCUUAUUUUGAUCACGUUCGGCGCUCGAUCGCGCUGUAUGAGACAGGAAAACAUAGCAUGCAGACAUUAGCGACAGGUCUUACAGGCGGAAAAGGCUUGCCAAAAGAAAAAAAAAACACACCACAACAUCUCUCCUAUUGGUGGAAAACUUCACCACAACAACCAAUCCAAAAUUAUAUGGUGACUGAUUGACAAGGGGCGGGCGCUUACGUUCUUCCUGCAACAUGAGAAGGGAGGGAGGGACUCUCAGCAGGGAUGCAGUCUGGGACACGUAGUUGCAAACCUAGCGACUUUGUUGUUAGAUUCAAUGACUUUUCAGACCCCCUAACGACUUUUUUUUAGAAAGAAAGGGACUUUUAUCGACUUCUUCUGGAGUUUAGAGACUCUGACAUGAAGCAGGCUUUCCUUACUGAGGAGUUAGCAACGCUGCUAAGGGUGCAGAGCCACACAUGCGCUCAGAGCUCUGCAUGGGAGACUGAAGCUGACAGAGCUGCAGCCGUUAGCAGGUUUCACCCUCAGAGACCACCAGGGGUUCAUGUUGAGGCAUUUUAAAUUUUUUUUUUUUUGUGCCAUAGACACUGUCAGCACAAUCUGCAGUUACACUAACAAAAAUGCUGCAAAAAACAAAGAAUUAUGGAAAAAUUACACAUGGACUGACAUAGAGGAGGAUCUACACAAGUUUUUUACAUCAUGUUUUACAUCAUGCAUCAUUUACAUCAUGUUUUUUUGUAGUGGCAUAAAUAAAAAGUGACAUUUGUGAGACUAUACAGUGUUUUGUAAAUAAUUUUACAAAGAACGCCUGGGCCAUUGCCUGCAUUUUGAUGAAAAUAGAGGUAAAUCACUAUGUUCUUUGUUAAAAAUUUGCAUAUGUUUUGAAGUUUACAAUUUUUAUUUGAAGUUUAAGUUUUAAAAACAGUUCAUCACACAUAUUUGUGGUUUUCACAGUAAAAAUGUUACUUUUUUCCACUCGGAUUUUAUGUUUUGUGUGUGAAUUUGGGUCCAUUGUGUAAAUUCAGUAUGUCAACAUGAUAAAAUAACUGUAAAUUCGCACAGGUGAGGUUGUGCUGAAAAAAUGAUACCAGGCAAGGCACGUGAUUGUCAAAUUUUGUGUCAAUAUGACAAAGCGUAUAGGCGUGAAUCUCAACAAUAUGUAUUUUCACCUUAGGGGACAAGAAAAAAUGGACUUUUUUCUCCUGCCAUGGGGGGGCGCUCUUUUGGGGAGUAAAAAUUCCUUCACAAAUGUGUUGAUGGCUGGACAUUGCAUCAUCCUAGAAAACUAAAAAACUUGGAGGCCAGUGAGGACAAAAAUAAAAAGUUAUAAGACUUUUAAAUAUGUGGAUUUUAGGGUUAUCUUUGGCGCCCCCUAGAACCUAAACCGUGGGGUGCAGCGUCAUGAUUUGAAUAACUUUUAAUGGCCAUGGGGUGUAGAUUGUCCUGAGCAAAUGUGGUGCCGGUGGAACGAAAGCCUUAGGAGGAGUUAGCCACAUUCCAAUGUGUGCGGAUCGGCAAAAAAUGCGGAAUAACCCUUUAACCGUACAUUUGACAGAUACGCGCGCAUUGACUUUUUCGUAGAUCUUAUUGAGUUACAUGUGUGUGUCAAUUUUUGUGUCAUUUUGACAAAGCGUAUAGGCGUGACACUCAACAAUGUGUAUUUUCACCUUAGGGGACAAGAAAAAAUUGACUUUUUUCUCCUGCCAUGGGGGGGCGCUCUUUUGGGGAGUAAAAAUUCCUUCACAAAUGUGUUGAUGGCUGGACAUUGCAUCAUCCUAGAAAACUUGGAGGCCAGUGAGGACAAAAAUAAAAAGUUAUAAGACUUUUAAAUAUGUGGAUUUUAGUGUUAUCUUUGGCGCCCCCUAGAACCUAAACCUUGGGGUGCAGCGUCAUGAUUUUGAUAACUUUUAAUGGCCACGGGGUGUAGAUUGGCCUGAGCAAAUGUGGUGCCGGUGGAACGAAAGCCUUCGGAGGAGUUAGCGAAAUUCCAAUGUGUGCGGAUCGGCAAAAAAUGCGAAAUAACCCUUUGACCGUACAUUUGACAGAUACGGCCGCAUUGACUUUUUCGUAGAUCUUAUUGAGAUACAUAUGUGUGUCAAUUUUUGUGUCAUUUUGACAAAGCGUAUAGGCGUGACACUCAACAAUGUGUAUUUUCACCUUAGGGGACAAGAAAAAAUGGACUUUUUUCUCCUGCCAUGGGGGGGCGCUCUUUUGGGGAGUAAAAAUUCCUUCACAAAUGUGUUGAUGGCUGGACAUUGCAUCAUCCUAGAAAACUUGGAGGCCAGUGAGGACAAAAAUAAAAAGUUAUAAGACUUUUAAAUAUGUGGAUUUUAGUGUUAUCUUUGGCGCCCCCUAGAACCUAAACCUUGGGGUGCAGCGUCAUGAUUUUGAUAACUUUUAAUGGCCACGGGGUGUAGAUUGGCCUGAGCAAAUGUGGUGCCGGUGGAACGAAAGCCUUCGGAGGAGUUAGCGAAAUUCCAAUGUGUGCGGAUCGGCAAAAAAUGCGAAAUAACCCUUUGACCGUACAUUUGACAGAUACGGCCGCACUGACUUUUUUGUAGAUCUUAUUGAGAUACAUAUGUGUGUCAAUUUUUGUGUCAAUAUGACAAAGCGUACAGGCGUGACAGUCAAUAGUGUGAAUUUCCACCUUAGGGGGCGCUAUGGAGCCAUUUUGCAUUUUAUUGUUUGGGCGACUUCAGAAUAUCGAAUUUUUCACCAGGCCCGGUCGUCCUGCCAAAUUUCAUGAGUUUUCGCCAGUGGGAAGUGGGCCAUUUUCCAGUUCAAAGGGGAGGAAAAAGAAGAAAGAAAGAAAGAAAGAAAGAAAGAAACAAAGAAAAACCACUUGGGGAAUAAUAGGGCCUACGCCCGGCUGCUCUGCAGCUGGCUCGGGCCCUAAAGAAAGAAAGAAAGAAAGAAACAACUAGGGCCCCGGUGGGGCACUGUCGGGCCCGAGCCGCGUCGCGCCGCCCCCAGCGUGACCGCCUCCCCCUCCCGAUCGCGUCACACUCAAGGUCCAAAGAUGGUGUGCGCACUUGUCUGUAAUCAUUUCCCAUUAUAAUGAAUGGGAGGCGCAGUUUCUACCAAAACACUCGCUGCAGACAAACUUCAUGUCCUAUUUGAAAAAAGUCUGGACCAUGAGUGAGGGCACAAACACAGCUAUGAUAUAUCGAAAUGGCAGGUUGCUCCUCCUUACGGUGUUGCCUGGAGAGCGAUGCGAUUGAGCCAUUGAGCGAUGGGCAGGGUUAACUUGACUUUUUCUCCUGCCUUGGGGGGGGGGGGGGGGGGGAUUCUUUUAAGAAUGUGGAUUUUUGGGUCAUCUUUGGCGCCCCCUAGAACGUAAACCGUGGGGUGCAGCGUCAUGAUUUUUACAACUUUGAAUGGCCAUGGGGUGUAGAUUGGCCUGAGCAAAUUUUGUGUCAGUGGGACGAAAGCCUUAGGAGGAGUUAGCCACAUUCCAAUGUGUGCGAAUCGGCAAAAAAUGCAAAAUAGCCCUUUAACCGUACAUUUGACAGAUACGCGCGCAUUGACUUUUUUGUAGAUAUUAUUGAGAUACAUAUGUGUGUCAAUUUUUGUGUCAAUAUGAUAAAGCGUACAGGCGUGACAGUCAAUAGUGUGAAUUUCCACCUUAGGGGACAAGAAAAAAUGGACUUUUUUCUCCUGCCAUGGGGGGGCGCUCUUUUGGGGAGUAAAAAUUCCUUCACAAAUGUGUUGAUGGCUGGACAUUGCAUCAUCCUAGAAAACUUGGAGGCCAGUGAGGACAAAAAUAAAAAGUUAUAAGACUUUUAAAAAUGUGGAUUUUUGGGUUAUCUUUGGCGCCCCCUAGAACGUAAACCGUGGGGUGCAGCGUCAUGAUUUGAAUAACUUUUAAUGGCCAUGGGGUGUAGAUUGGCCUGAGCAAAUGUGGUGCCGGUGGAACGAAAGCCUUCGGAGGAGUUAGCGAAAUUCCAAUGUGUGCGGAUCGGCAAAAAAUGCGAAAUAACCCUUUAACCGUACAUUAGACAGAUACGCGCGCAUGGACUUUUUUGUAGAUCUUAUUGAGAUACAUGUGUGUGUCAAUUUUUGUGUCAUUUUGACAAAGCGUACAGGCGUGACAGUCAAUAGUGUGAAUUUUCACCUUAGGGGACAAGAAAAAAUGGACUUUUUUCUCCUGCCAUGGGGGGGCGCUCUUUUGGGGAGUAAAAAUUCCUUCACAAAUGUGUUGAUGGCUGGACAUUGCAUCAUCCUAGAAAACUUGGAGGCCAGUGAGGGCAAAAAUAAAAAGUUAUAAGACUUUUAAAUAUGUGGAUUUUAGGGUUAUCUUUGGCGCCCCCUAGAACCUAAACCGUGGGGUGCAGCGUCAUGAUUUGAAUAACUUUUAAUGGCCAUGGGGUGUAGAUUGGCCUGAGCAAAUGUGGUGCCGGUGGAACGAAAGCCUUCGGAGGAGUUAGCGAAAUUCCAAUGUGUGCGGAUCGGCAAAAAAUGCGAAAUAGCCCUUUAACCGUACAUUUGACAGAUACGCCCGCACUGACUUUUUUGUAGAUCUUAUUGAGAUACAUGUGUGUGUCAAUUUUUGUGUCAUUUUGACAAAGCGUACAGGCGUGACAGUCAAUAGUGUGAAUUUUCACCUUAGGGGGCGCUAUGGAGCCAUUUUGCAUUUUCUUGUUUGGGCGACUUCGGAAUAUCAAAUUUUUCACCAGGCCCGGUCGUCCUGCCAAAUUUCAUGAGUUUUCGCCAGUGGGAAGUGGGCCAUUUUCCAGUUCAAAGGGGAGGAAAAAUAAUAACUAGGGCCCCGGUGGGGCACUGUCGGGCCCGAGCCGCGUUGCGCCGCCCCCAGCGCGACCGCCUCCCCCUCCCGAUCGCGUCACACUCAAGGUCCAAAGAUGGUGUGCGCACUUGUCUGUGGUCAUUUCCCAUUAUAAUGAAUGGGAGGUGCAGUUUCUACCAAAACACUCGCUGCAGACAAACUACAUGUCCUAUUUGAAAAAAGUCUGGACCAUGAGUGAGGGCACAAACACAGCUAGGAUAUAUCCAAAUGGCAAGUUGCUCCUCGUUACGGUGUUGCCGGGAGAGUGAUGCGAUUGAGCCAUUGAGUUAUGGGCAGGAAAAACUUGACUGUUUCUCCUGCCAUGGGGGUUGGGGGUUGGGGGAUGGGGGGGGGGGGGGUGGAUUCUUUUAAGAAUGUGGAUAUUUGGGUCAUCUUUGGCGCCCCCUAGAACGUAAACCGUGGGGUGCAGCGUCAUGAUUUUUACAACUUUGAAUGGCCAUGGGGUGUAGAUUGGCCUGAGCAAAUUUGGUGUCAGUGGGACGAAAGCCUUAGGAGGAGUUAGCCACAUUCCAAUGUGUGCGAAUCGGCAAAAAAUGCAAAAUAGCCCUUUAACCGUACAUUUUACAGAUACGCACGCAUUGACUUUUUCGUAGAUCUUAUUGAGAUACAUGUGAUUGUCAGAUUUUGUGUCAAUAUGACAAAGCGUACAGGUAUGACAGUCAACAAUGUGUUUUUUCACCUUAUGGGACAAGAAAAAAUGGACUUUUUUCUCCUGCCAUGGGGGGGCGCUCUUUUGGGGAGUAAAAAUUCCUUCACAAAUGUGUUGAUGGCUGGACAUUGCAUCAUCCUAGAAAACUUGGAGGCCAGUGAGGACUUAAAUAAAAAGUUAUAAGACCUUGAAAUAUCUGGAUUUUAGGGUUAUCUUUGGCGCCCCCUAGAACCUAAACCGUGGGGUGCAGCGUCAUGAUUUGAAUAACUUUUAAUGGCCAUGGGGUGUAGAUUGGCCUGAGCAAAUGUGGUGCCGGUGGAACGAAAGCCUUAGGAGGAGUUAGCCACAUUCCAAUGUGUGCGGAUCGGCAAAAAAUGCGGAAUAACCCUUUAACCGUACAUUUGACAGAUACGCGCGCAUUGACUUUUUCGUAGAUCUUAUUGAGUUAGAUGUGUGUGUCAAUUUUUGUGUCAUUUUGACAAAGCGUAUAGGCGUGACACUCAACAAUGUGUAUUUUCACCUUAGGGGACAAGAAAAAUGGACUUUUUUCUCCUGCCAUGGGGGGGCGCUCUUUUGGGGAGUAAAAAUUCCUUCACAAAUGUGUUGAUGGCUGGACAUUGCAUCAUCCUAGAAAACUUGGAGGCCAGUGAGGACAAAAAUAAAAAGUUAUAAGACUUUUAAAUAUGUGGAUUUUAGUGUUAUCUUUGGCGCCCCCUAGAACCUAAACCUUGGGGUGCAGCGUCAUGAUUUUGAUAACUUUUAAUGGCCACGGGGUGUAGAUUGGCCUGAGCAAAUGUGGUGCCGGUGGAACGAAAGCCUUUGGAGGAGUUAGCGAAAUUCCAAUGUGUGCGGAUCGGAAAAAAAUGCGAAAUAACCCUUUAACCGUACAUUUGACAGAUACGGCCGCACUGACUUUUUUGUAGAUCUUAUUGAGAUACAUAUGUGUGUCAAUUUUUGUGUCAAUAUGACAAAGCGUACAGGCGUGACAGUCAAUAGUGUGAAUUUCCACCUUAGGGGGCGCUAUGGAGCCAUUUUGCAUUUUAUUGUUUGGGCGACUUCAGAAUAUCGAAUUUUUCACCAGGCCCGGUCGUCCUGCCAAAUUUCAUGAGUUUUCGCCAGUGGGAAGUGGGCCAUUUUCCAGUUCAAAGGGGAGGAAAAAGAAGAAAGAAAGAAAGAAAGAAAGAAAGAAAGAAACAAAGAAAAACCACUUGGGGAAUAAUAGGGCCUACGCCCGGCUGCUCUGCAGCUGGCUCGGGCCCUAAUAAUAACAAACUAGGACCCCGUUGGGGCACUGGCGGGCCCGAGCCGUGUCGCGUCCCCCCCCCCCCCCCCCCAACGUGCUGCCUCCCCGUCCCAUUUGUGUCCUCUGGCCAUCGCUCUCUCUGGUAACGCCCAUCACUGCAAAGACCCUUUUCCUUCAUCUGCGUUUGCUGUUCUUCCUGCCAGUGCGUGUUGCUUUCACUUACACUUGCCACAGCCAGCCUCGUGAGUGCCUAGCCUAUUGGAUAUCACUGUCACCUACACAGGACAGUCAUUACCUUUCUAUUAAUACUUUGUGUUUUAAUUUCACAUUAAUUUCCAUAUUGUAUAAACGACUGGAAAAAACUUGAGCCCCUGCCCCUGUAUAAUCAUGUGCAUGUCUCUGUUCUAGCUCCAAGGUGAAUCUUCACUGCUCAUGUUCUCCUCAGAAGCACUCACCUCACUCCCCUCAGGUUACUGUACACAUGCACCAACUGCCUGCUUCAGGUUUGGAUGGAGCUUCAUGGUUGUCUUUUGGAGAAAUGACCAGUCAAGUUGUGUUUGAAAUUUGAUUUUUUUCAGGGGCAAAAGGAGCCUCUGCAUUCUUGUCAAAUAUGUAAAUAGCAUGUUUUUGCAGGUGCUAAAAACCAGACUCUGAGUGUGUGUGUGUGUGUGUGUGUGUGUGUGCGUGUGUGUGUCUGUGUGUGCGUUCAAGUCACAUGACAUAUUUAACCGGAUGUAGCUGCAAGACGGAGCCUCGUUGACUCUCCGUUUCAACUUAUCUCAAAAGUGAGGACCUCAACCUAUAUACCAGUUUUUAAAUUGUGUUGAUAGGCCAAAUAAAACCAGAGUUAUGAUAAAUUAUGUCCGCGAUACUUUUUUUCUGCUUAUUUUGAUCACGUUCGGCGCUCGAUCGCGCUGUAUGAGACAGGAAAACAUAGCAUGCAGACAUUAGCGACAGCUCUUACAGGCGGAAAAGGCUUGCCAAAAGAAAAAAAAAAACACACCACAACAUCUCUCCUAUUGGUGGAAAACUUCACCACAACAACCAAUCCAAAAUUAUAUGGUGACUGAUUGACAAGGGGGGCGCUUACGUUCUUCCUGCAACAUGAGAAGGGAGGGAGGGACUCUCAGCAGGGAUGCAGUCUGGGACACGUAGUUGCAAACCUAGCGACUUUGUUGUUAGAUUCAAUGACUUUUCAGACCCCCUAACGACUUUUUUUUAGAAAGAAAGGGACUUUUAUCGACUUCUUCUGGAGUUUAGAGACUCUGACAUGAAGCAGGCUUUCCUUACUGAGGAGUUAGCAACGCUGCUAAGGGUGCAGAGCCACACAUGCGCUCAGAGCUCUGCAUGGGAGACUGAAGCUGACAGAGCUGCAGCAGUUAGCAGGUUUCACCCUCAGAGACCACCAGGGGUUCAUGUUGAGGCAUUUUAAAUUUUUUUUUUUUUUUGUGCCAUAGACACUGUCAGCACAAUCUGCAGCUACACUAACAAAAAUGCUGCAAAAAACAAAGAAUUAUGGAAAAAUUACACAUGGACUGACAUAGAGGAGGAUCUACACAAGUUUUUUACAUCAUGUUUUACAUCAUGCAUCAUUUACAUCAUGUUUUUUUGUAGUGGCAUAAAUAAAAAGUGACAUUUGUGAGACUAUACAGUGUUUUGUAAAUAAUUUUACAAAGAACGCCUGGGCCAUUGCCUGCAUUUUGAUGAAAAUAGAGGUAAAUCACUAUGUUCUUUGUUAAAAAUUUGCAUAUGUUUUGAAGUUUACAAUUUUUAUUUGAAGUUUAAGUUUUAAAAACAGUUCAUCACACAUAUUUGUGGUUUUCACAGUAAAAAUGUUACUUUUUUCCACUCGGAUUUUAUGUUUUGUGUGUGAAUUUGGGUCCAUUGUGUAAAUUCAGUAUGUCAACAUGAUAAAAUAACUGUAAAUUCGCACAGGUGAGGUUGUGCUGAAAAAAAUGAUACCAGGCAAGGCACGUGAUUGUCAAAUUUUGUGUCAAUAUGACAAAGCGUAUAGGCGUGAAUCUCAACAAUAUGUAUUUUCACCUUAGAGGACAAGAAAAAAUGGACUUUUUUCUCCUGCCAUGGGGGGGCGCUCUUUUGGGGAGUAAAAAUUCCUUCACAAAUGUGUUGAUGGCUGGACAUUGCAUCAUCCUAGAAAACUUGGAGGCCAGUGAGGACAAAAAUAAAAAGUUAUAAGACUUUUAAAUAUGUGGAUUUUAGGGUUAUCUUUGGCGCCCCCUAGAACCUAAACCGUGGGGUGCAGCGUCAUGAUUUUGAUAACUUUUAAUGGCCAUGGGGUGUAGAUUGGCCUGAGCAAAUGUGGUGCCGGUGGAACGAAAGCCUUAGGAGGAGUUAGCGAAAUUCCAAUGUGUGCGGAUCGGCAAAAAAUGCGGAAUAACCCUUUAACCGUACAUUUGACAGAUACGCGCGCAUUGACUUUUUCGUAGAUCUUAUUGAGUUACAUGUGUGUGUCAAUUUUUGUGUCAUUUUGACAAAGCGUAUAGGCGUGACACUCAACAAUGUGUAUUUUCACCUUAGGGGACAAGAAAAAAUGGACUUUUUUCUCCUGCCAUGGGGGGGCGCUCUUUUGGGGAGUAAAAAUUCCUUCACAAAUGUGUUGAUGGCUGGACAUUGCAUCAUCCUAGAAAACUUGGAGGCCAGUGAGGACAAAAAUAAAAAGUUAUAAGACUUUUAAAUAUGUGGAUUUUAGUGUUAUCUUUGGCGCCCCCUAGAACCUAAACCUUGGGGUGCAGCGUCAUGAUUUUGAUAACUUUUAAUGGCCACGGGGUGUAGAUUGGCCUGAGCAAAUGUGGUGCCGGUGGAACGAAAGCCUUCGGAGGAGUUAGCGAAAUUCCAAUGUGUGCGGAUCGGCAAAAAAUGCGAAAUAACCCUUUAACCGUAAUUUUGACAGAUACGGCCGCACUGACUUUUUUGUAGAUCUUAUUGAGAUACAUAUGUGUGUCAAUUUUUGUGUCAAUAUGACAAAGCGUACAGGCGUGACAGUCAAUAGUGUGAAUUUUCACCUUAGGGGGCGCUAUGGAGCCAUUUUGCAUUUUAUUGUUUGGGCGACUUCAGAAUAUCAAAUUUUUCACCAGGCCCGGUCGUCCUGCCAAAUUUCAUGAGUUUUCGCCAGUGGGAAGUGGGCCAUUUUCCAGUUCAAAGGGGAGGAAAAAGAAAAAAGAAAGAAAGAAACAAAGAAAAACCACUUGGGGAAUAAUAGGGCCUACGCCCGGCUGCUCUGCAGCUGGCUCGGGCCCUAAAGAAGGAAACAUGCAGGAACAAGAGGGCUCUCGCAGCUGCUUAGCAGCUACGCUCGGGCCCUAAUAAGAAGAAGAAGAAGAAAGAAGAAUCCAUCAGGAAUAAUAGGGCUCUCGCAGCUGCUUAGCAGCUACGCUCGGGCCCUAAAGAAAGAAACAAAGAAAAACCACUUGAGGAACAACAGGGCCUACGCCCGGCCCCGUUGGGUCACUGGCGGGCCCGAGCCGUGUCGCAUCCCCCCCCCCCCCCCCCCCAACGUGCUGCCUUCCCGUCCCAUUUGUGUCCUCUGGCCAUCGCCCUCUCUGGUAACGCCCAUCACUGCAAAGACCCUUUUCCUUCAUCGGCGUUUGCUGUUCUUCCUGCCAGUGCGUGUUGCUUUCACUUACACUUGCCACAGCCAGCCUCGUGAGUGCCUAGCCUAUUGGAUAUCACUGUCACCUACACAGGACAGUCAUUACCUUUCUAUUAAUACUUUGUGUUUUAAUUUCACAUUAAUUUCCAUAUUGUAUAAACGACUGGAAAAAACCUGAGCCCCUGCCCCUGUAUAAUCAUGUGCAUGUCUCUGUUCUAGCUCCAAGGUGAAUCUUCACUGCUCAUGUUCUCCUCAGAAGCACUCACCUCACUCCCCUCAGGUUACUGUACACAUGCACCAACUGCCUGCUUCAGGUUUGGAUGGAGCUUCAUGGUUGUCUUUUGGAGAAAUGACCAGUCAAGUUGUGUUUGAAAUUUGAUUUUUUUCAGGGGCAAAAGGAGCCUCUGCAUUCUUGUCAAAUAUGUAAAUAGCAUGUUUUUGCAGGUGCUAAAAACCAGACUCUGAGUGUGUGUGUGUGUCUGUGUGUGCGUUCAAGUCACAUGACAUAUUUAACCGGAUGUAGCUGCAAGACGGAGCCUCGUUGACUCUCCGUUUCAACUUAUCUCAAAAGUGAGGACCUCAACCUAUAUACCAGUUUUUAAAUUGUGUUGAUAGGCCAAAUAAAACCAGAGUUAUGAUAAAUUAUGUCCGCAAUACUUUUUUUCUACUUAUUUUGAUCACGUUCGGCGCUCGAUCGCGCUGUAUGAGACAGGAUAACAUAGCAUGCAGACAUUAGCGACAGGUCUUACAGGCGGAAAAGGCUUGCCAAAAGAAAAAAAAAACACACCACAACAUCUCUCCUAUUGGUGGAAAACUUCACCACAACAACCAAUCCAAAAUUAUAUGGUGACUGAUUGACAAGGGGCGGGCGCUUACGUUCUUCCUGCAACAUGAGAAGGGAGGGAGGGACUCUCAGCAGGGAUGCAGUCUGGGACACGUAGUUGCAAACCUAGCGACUUUGUUGUUAGAUUCAAUGACUUUUCAGACCCCCUAACGACUUUUUUUUAGAAAGAAAGGGACUUUUAUCGACUUCUUCUGGAGUUUAGAGACUCUGACAUGAAGCAGGCUUUCCUUACUGAGGAGUUAGCAACGCUGCUAAGGGUGCAGAGCCACACAUGCGCUCAGAGCUCUGCAUGGGAGACUGAAGCUGACAGAGCUGCAGCAGUUAGCAGGUUUCACCCUCAGAGACCACCAGGGGUUCAUGUUGAGGCAUUUUAAAUUUUUUUUUUUUUUUGUGCCAUAGACACUGUCAGCACAAUCUGCAGCUACACUAACAAAAAUGCUGCAAAAAACAAAGAAUUAUGGAAAAAUUACACAUGGACUGACAUAGAGGAGGAUCUACACAAGUUUUUUACAUCAUGUUUUACAUCAUGCAUCAUUUACAUCAUGUUUUUUUGUAGUGGCAUAAAUAAAAAGUGACAUUUGUGAGACUAUACAGUGUUUUGUAAAUAAUUUUACAAAGAACGCCUGGGCCAUUGCCUACAUUUUGAUGUAAAUAGAGGUAAAUCACUAUGUUCUUUGUUAAAAAUUUGCAUAUGUUUUGAAGUUUACAAUUUUUAUUUGAAGUUUAAGUUUUAAAAACAGUUCAUCACACAUAUUUGUGGUUUUCACAGUAAAAAUGUUACUUUUUUCCACUCGGAUUUUAUGUUUUGUGUGUGAAUUUGGGUCCAUUGUGUAAAUUCAGUAUGUCAACAUGAUAAAAUAACUGUAAAUUCGCACAGGUGAGGUUGUGCUGAAAAAAAUGAUACCAGGCAAGGCACGUGAUUGUCAAAUUUUGUGUCAAUAUGACAAAGCGUAGAGGCGUGAAUCUCAACAAUAUGUAUUUUCACCUUAGGGGACAAGAAAAAAUGGACUUUUUUCUCCUGCCAUGGGGGGGCGCUCUUUUGGGGAGUAAAAAUUCCUUCACAAAUGUGUUGAUGGCUGGACAUUGCAUCAUCCUAGAAAACUUGGAGGCCAGUGAGGACAAAAAUAAAAAGUUAUAAGACUUUUAAAUAUGUGGAUUUUAGGGUUAUCUUUGGCGCCCCCUAGAACCUAAACCGUGGGGUGCAGCGUCAUGAUUUAAAUAACUUUUAAUGGCCAUGGGGUGUAGAUUGGCCUGAGCAAAUGUGGUGCCGGUGGAACGAAAGCCUUAGGAGGAGUUAGCCACAUUCCAAUGUGUGCGGAUCGGCAAAAAAUGCGGAAUAACCCUUUAACCGUACAUUUGACAGAUACGCGCGCGUUGACUUUUUCGUAGAUCUUAUUGAGUUACAUGUGUGUGUCAAUUUUUGUGUCAUUUUGACAAAGCGUAUAGGCGUGACACUCAACAAUGUGUAUUUUCACCUUAGGGGACAAGAAAAAAUGGACUUUUUUCUCCUGCCAUGGGGGGGCGCUCUUUUGGGGAGUAAAAAUUCCUUCACAAAUGUGUUGAUGGCUGGACAUUGCAUCAUCCUAGAAAACUUGGAGGCCAGUGAGGACAAAAAUAAAAAGUUAUAAGACUUUUAAAUAUGUGGAUUUUAGUGUUAUCUUUGGCGCCCCCUAGAACCUAAACCUUGGGGUGCAGCGUCAUGAUUUUGAUAACUUUUAAUGGCCACGGGGUGUAGAUUGGCCUGAGCAAAUGUGGUGCCGGUGGAACGAAAGCCUUCGGAGGAGUUAGCGAAAUUCCAAUGUGUGCGGAUCGGCAAAAAAUGCGAAAUAACCCUUUAACCGUACAUUUGACAGAUACGCCCGCACUGACUUUUUUGUAGAUCUUAUUGAGAUACAUAUGUGUGUCAAUUUUUGUGUCAAUAUGACAAAGCGUACAGGCGUGACAGUCAAUAAUGUGAAUUUCCACCUUAGGGGGCGCUAUGGAGCCAUUUUGCAUUUUCUUGUUUGGGCGACUUCAGAAUAUCGAAUUUUUCACCAGGCCCGGUCGUCCUGCCAAAUUUCAUGAGUUUUCGCCAGUGGGAAGUGGGCCAUUUUCCAGUUCAAAGGGGAGGAAAAAGAAGAAAGAAAGAAAGAAAGAAAGAAACAAAGAAAAACCACUUGAGGAAUAAUAGGGCUCUCGCAGCUGCUUAGCAGCUACGCUCGGGCCCUAAUAAUAAUAAUAACAAAAGAAGAAUCCAUCAGGAACAAGAGGGCUCUCGCAGCUGCUUAGCAGCUACGCUCGGGCCCUAAAGAAGAAUCCAUCAGGAACAAGACGGCUGUAACAGCUGCUUAGCAGCUACGCUCGGGCCCUAACUAGGGCCCCGGUGGGGCACUGUCGGGCCCGAGCCGCGUCGUGCCGCCCCCAGCGUGACCGCCUCCCCCUCCCGAUCGCGUCACACUCAAGGUCCAAAGAUGGUGUGCGCACUUGUCUGUGGUCAUUUCCCAUUAUAAUGAAUGGGAGGCGCAGUUUCUACCAAAACACUCGCUGCAGACAAACUUCAUGUCCUAUUUGAAAAAAGUCUGGACCAUGAGUGAGGGCACAAACACAGCUGGGAUAUAUCCAAAUGGCAGGUUGCUCCUCCUUACGGUGUUGCCUGUAGAGCGAUGCGAUUGAGCCAUUGAGCGAUGGGCAGGAAAAACUUGACUUUUUCUCGUGCCAUGGGGGGGGAGAAUGUGGAUUCUUUUAAGAAUGUGGAUUUUUUGGUCAUCUUUGGCGCCCCCUAGAACGUAAACCGUGGGGUGCAGCAUCAUGAUUUGAAUAACUUUUAAUGGCCAUGGGGUGUAGAUCGGCCUGAGCAAAUUUGGUUUCAGUGGGACGAAAGCCUUAGGAGGAGUUAGCCACAUUCCAAUGUGUGCGAAUCGGCAAAAAAUGCAAAAUAGCCCUCUAACCGUAUAUUUGACAGAUACGCACCCAUUGACUUUUUCGUAGAUCUUAUUGAGAUACACGUGAUUGUCAAAUUUUGUGUCAAUAUGACAAAGCGUACAGGUGUCACACUCAACAAUGUGAAUUUUCACCUUACGGGACAAGAAAAAAUUGACUUUUUUCUCCUGCCAUGGGGGGGGGCGCUCUUUUGGGGAGUAAAAAUUCCUUCACAAAUGUGUUGAUGGCUGGACAUUGCAUCAUCCUAGAAAACUUGGAGGCCAGUGAGGGCAAAAAUAAAAAGUUAUAAGACUUUGAAAUAUGUGGAUUUUAGGGUUAUCUUUGGCGCCCCCUAGAACCUAAACCGUGGGGUGCAGCGUCAUGAUUUGAAUAACUUUUAAUGGCCAUGGGGUGUAGAUUGGCCUGAGCAAAUGUGGUGCCGGUGGAACGAAAGCCUUAGGAGGAGUUAGCGAAAUUCCAAUGUGUGCGGAUCAGAAAAAAUGCGGAAUAACCCUUUAACCGUACAUUUGACAGAUACGCGCGCAUUGACUUUUUCGUAGAUCUUAUUGAGAUACAUGUGUGUGUCAAAUUUUGUGUCAAUAUGACAAAGCGUACAGGCGUGACACUCAACAAUGUGUAUUUUCAAAUUAGGGGACAAGAAAAAAUGGACUUUUUUCUCCUGCCAUGGGGGGGCGCUCUUUUGGGGAGUAAAAAUUCCUUCACAAAUGUGUUGAUGGCUGGACAUUGCAUCAUCCUAGAGAACUUGAAGGCCAGUGAGGACAAAAAUAAAAAGUUAUAAGACUUUUAAAUAUGUGGAUUUUAGGGUUAUAUUUGGCGCCCCCUAGAACCUAAACCGUGGGGUGCAGCAUCAUGAUUUGAAUAACUUUUAAUGGCCAUGGGGUGUAGAUUGGCCUGAGCAAAUGUGGUGCCGGUGGAACGAAAGCCUUCGGAGGAGUUAGCGAAAUUCCAAUGUGUGCGGAUCGGCAAAAAAUGCGAAAUGACCCUUUAACCGUACAUUUGACAGAUACGCGCGUAUGACUUUUUCGUAGAUCUUAUUGAGAUACAUAUGUGUGUCAAUUUUUGUGUCAAUAUGACAAAGCGUACAGGCGUGACAGUCAAUAGUGUGAAUUUUCACCUUAGGGGACAAGAAAAAAUGGACUUUUUUCUCCUGCCAUGGGGGGGCGCUCUUUUGGGGAGUCAAAAUUCCUUCACAAAUGUGUUGAUGGCUGGACAUUGCAUCAUCCUAGUAAACUUGGAGGCCAGUGAGGAAAAAAAUAAAAAGUUAUAAGACUUUUAAAUAUGUGGAUUUUAGGGUUAUCUUUGGCGCCCCCUAGAACCUAAACCGUGGGGUGCAGCGUCAUGAUUUGAAUAACUUUUAAUGGCCAUGGGGUGUAGAUUGACCUGAGCAAAUGUUGUGCCGAUGGAAGGAAAGUCUUCAGAGGAGUUAGCGAAAUUCCGAUGUGUGUGGAUCGGCAAAAAAUGCGAAAUAACCCGUUAACCGUAAAUUUGACAGAUACGCCCGCACUGACUUUUUUGUAGAUCUUAUUGAGAUACAUAUGUGUGUCAAUUUUUGUGUCAAUAUGACAAAGCGUACAGCCGAGACAGUCAAUAGUUUGAAUUUUCAUCUUAGGGGGCGCUAUGGAGCCAUUUUGCAUUUUAUUGUUUGGGCGACUUCAGAAUAUCAAAUUUUUCACCAGGCCCGGUCGUCCUGCCAAAUUUCAUGAGUUUUCGCCAGUGGGAAGUGGGCCAUUUUCCAGUUCAAAGGGGAGGAAAAAGAAGAAACUAGGGCCCCGUUGGGGCACUGGCGGGCCCGAGCCGUGUCACGCCGCCCCCAGCGCGACCGCCUCCCCCACCCGAUCGCGUCACACUCAAGGUCCAAAGAUGGUGUGCGCACUUGUUUGUGGUCAUUUACCAUUAUAAUGAACGGGAGGCGCAGUUUCUACCAAAACGCUCGCUGCAGAAAAACUCCAUGUCCUAUUUGAAAAAAGUCUGGACCAUGAGUGAGGGCACAAACACAGCUAAGAUAUAUCCAAAUGGCAAGUUGCUCCUCCUUUCGCUUUUGCCGAAAGAGCAGUGCGUUUGAGCCAUUGAAUGAUGAACAGGAAAAACUUGACUUUAUUCUCCUGCCAUGGGGGGCGCUCUUUUAAAGAGAAAAAACUCCUUCACAAAUGUGUUGAUGGCUGGACAUUGCAUCAUCCUAGAAAACAUGGAGGCCAGUGAGGACAAAAAUAAAAAGUUAUAAGACUUUUAAAUAUGUGGAUUUUAGGGUUAUAUUUGGCGCCCCCUAGAACCUAAACCGUGGGGUGCAGCGUCAUGAUUUGAAUAACUUUUAAUGGCCAUGGGGUGUAGAUUGGCCUGAGCAAAUGUGGUGCCGGUGGAACGAAAGCCUUCGGAGGAAUUAGCGAAAUUCCAAUGUGUGCGAAUCUGCAAAAAAUGCGAAAUAACCCUUUAACCGUACAUUUUACAGAUACGUGGCCAUUGACUUUUUCGAAGAUCUUAUUGAAAUACACGUGUAUGUAAAAUUUUGUGUCAAUACGACAAAACAUAAAGGCGUAGCACUCAACAAUGUGUAUUUUCACCUUAGUGGACAAGAAAAAAUUGACUUUUUUCUCCUGCCAUGGGGGGCGCUCUUUUGCCGAGUAAAAAUUCCUUCACAAAUGUGUUGAUGGCUGGACAUUGCAUCAUCCUAGAAAACUUGGAGGCCAGUGAGGGCAAAAAUAAAAAGUUAUAAGACUUUUAAAUAUGUGGAUCUUAGGGUUAUCUUUGGCUCCCCCUAGAACCUAAACCGUGGGGUGCAGCGUCAUGAUUUGAAUAACUUUUAAUGGCCAUGGGGUGUAGAUUGGCCUGAGCAAAUGUGGUGCCGGUGGAACGAAAGCCUUCGGAGGAGUUAGCGAAAUUCCAAUGUGUGCGGAUCGGCAAAAAAUGCGGAAUAACCCUUUAACCGUACAUUUGACAGAUACGCGCGCAUUGACUUUUUCGUAGAUCUUAUUGAGAUACAUGUGUGUGUCAAUUUUUGUGUCAUUUUGCCAAAGCGUACAGGUGUUACACUCAACAAUGUGUAUUUUCACCUUAGGGGACAAGAAAAAAUGGACUUUUUUCUCCUGCCAUGGGGGGGCGCUCUUUUGGGGAGUAAAAAUUCCUUCACAAAUGUGUUGAUGGCUGGACAUUGCAUCAUCCUAGAAAACUUGGAGGCCAGUGAGGGCAAAAAUAAAAAGUUAUAAGACUUUUAAAUAUGUGGAUCUUAGGGUUAUCUUUGGCGCCCCCUAGAACCUAAACCGUGGGGUGCAGCGUCAUGAUUUGAAUAACUUUUAAUGGCCAUGGGGUGUAGAUUGGCCUGAGCAAAUGUGGUGCCGGUGGAACGAAAGCCUUCGGAGGAGUUAGCGAAAUUCCAAUGUGUGCGGAUCGGCAAAAAAUGCGAAAUAACCCUUUAACCGUACAUUUGACAGAUACGCCCGCACUGACUUUUUUGUAGAUCUUAUUGAGAUACAUGUGUGUGUCAAUUUUUGUGUCAUUUUGACAAAGCGUACAGGCGUGACAGUGAAUAGUGUGAAUUUUCACCUUAGGGGGCGCUAUGGAGCCAUUUUGCAUUUUCUUGUUUGGGCGACUUCGGAAUAUCAAAUUUUUCACCAGGCCCGGUCGUCCUGCCAAAUUUCAUGAGUUUUCGCCAGUGGGAAGUGGGCCAUUUUCCAGUUCAAAGGGGAGGAAAAAUAAUAAUAAUAAUAACACUAGGACCCCGUUGGGGCACUGGCGGGCCCGAGCUGUGUCGCGUCCCCCCCCCAACGCGCUGCCUCCCCGUCCCAUUUGUGUCCUCUGGCCAUCGCCCUCUUUGGUAACGCCCAUCACUGCAAAGACCCUUUUCCUUCAUCGGCGUUUGCUGUUCUUCCUGCCAGUGCGUGUUGCUUUCACUUACACUUGCCACAGCCAGCCUCGUGAGUGCCUAGCCUAUUGGAUAUCACUGUCACCUACACAGGACAGUCAUUACCUUUCUAUUAAUACUUUGUUUUUUAAUUUCACAUUAAUUUCCAAAUUGUAUAAACGACUGGAAAAAACUUGAGCCCCUGCCCCUGUAUAAUCAUGUGCACGUCUCUGUUCUAGCUCUAAGGUAAAUCUUCACUGCUCAUGUUCUCCUCAGAAGCAGUCACCUCACUCCCCUCAGGUUACUGUACACAUGCACCAACUGCCUGCUUCAGGUUUGGAUGGAGCUUCAUGGUUGUCUUUUGGAGAAAUGACCAGUCAAGUUGUGUUUGAAAUUUGAUUUUUUUCAGGGGCAAAAGGAGCCUCUGCAUUCUUGUCAAAUAUGUAAAUAGCAUGUUUUUGCAGGUGCUACAAACCAGACUCUGAGUGUGUGUGUGUGCGUGUGUGUGUGUGUCUGUGUGUGUGUGUGUGUGUGUGUGUGCGUUCAAGUCACAUGACAUAUUUAACCGGAUGUAGCUGCAAGACGGAGCCUCGUUGACUCUCCGUUUCAAUUUAUCUCAAAAGUGAGGACCUCAACCUAUAUACCAGUUUUUAAAUUGUGUUGAUAGGCCAAAUAAAACCAGAGUUAUGAUAAAUUAUGUCCGCGAUACUUGUUUUCUGCUUAUUUUGAUCACGUUCGGCGCUCGAUCGCGCUGUAUGAGACAGGAAAACAUAGCAUGCAGACAUUAGCGACAGGUCUUACAGGCGGAAAAGGCUUGCCAAAGGAAAAAAAAUACACACCACAACAUCUCUCCUAUUGGUGGAAAACUUCACCACAACAACCAAUCCAAAAUUAUAUGGUGACUGAUUGACAAGGGGCGGGAACUUACGUUCUUCCUGCAAUAUGAGAAGGGAGGGAGGGACUCUCAGCAGGGAUGCAGUCUGGGACACGUAGUUGCAAACCUAGCGACUUUGUUGUUAGAUUCAAUGACUUUUCAGACCCCCUAACGACUUUUUUUUAGAAAGAAAGUGACUUUUAUCGACUUCUUCUGGAGUUUAGAGACUCUGACAUGAAGCAGGCUUUCCUUACUGAGGAGUUAGCAACGCUGCUAAGGGUGCAGAGCCACACAUGCGCUCCGAGCUCUGCAUAGGAGACUGAAGCUGACAGAGCUGCAGCAGUUAGCAGGUUUCACCCUCAGAGACCACCAGGGGUUCAUGUUGAGGCAUUUUCAGUUUUUUUUUUUUUUUUUUGCCAUAGACACUGUCAGCACAAUCUGCAGUUACACUAACAAAAAUGCUGCAAAAAACAAAGAAUUAUGGAAAAAUUACACAUGGACUAACAUAGAGGAGGAUCUACACAAGUUUUUUACAUCAUGUUUUACAUCAUGCAUCAUUUACAUCAUGUUUUUUUGUAGUGGCAUAAAUAAAAAGUGACAUUUGUGAGACUAUACAGUGUUUUGUAAAUAAUUUUACAAAGAAC
This 39849-nucleotide long non-coding RNA is filed under the name Xyrichtys novacula (pearly razorfish). The record is from RNAcentral. Lineage: Eukaryota; Metazoa; Chordata; Actinopteri; Labriformes; Labridae.